CGCAGGUGGGCCGGCGAGGCAGGUGGGCCGGCGAGGCAGACUCUCACAAAAUAUUUUGCCUGCUCUGACCCCUACAAUCAAGCCACCUGAAAGCAAAAGCCUGUUAUAGGUUGCUGGUGGUGUCAAUGGCUUCCACCAAGGAGUGAGAACUAGGAAGAAACCAACCAUCCAGACAUUAACACAACUCUGCUACUUCUUGUGUGGGAGGUUAUCUCCCUACAACUUACCAAGUUGACUGCCAUGGGAAGAAAAGGGAACCACAGACCUUGAGACCAGAAUGGUUCAGACUGGAGUUGUGGGCACAGGAUCUCCACGACAUGUUCAUCCAGGAGCUGUUCACAAGCAUGCAGGACUACCAAGCGGCAGCUGAUUGGUGCUCACAAUUAGCAGUAAUAAAUGAUCUUUAGCC
Long non-coding RNA from Talpa occidentalis (Iberian mole), 409 nucleotides. RefSeq lists it as uncharacterized. The transcript has 3 exons. The record is from RefSeq and is a predicted model, not a curated record. Lineage: Eukaryota; Metazoa; Chordata; Mammalia; Eulipotyphla; Talpidae.